UACGUAGGGAGCAAGCGUUGUCCGGAAUCAUUGGGCGUAAAGCGCGCGUAGGCGGCCCUGUAAGUCCGUUGUGAAAGUCAAAGGCUCAACCUUUGAAAGCCGAUGGAUACUGCAGGGCUAGAGUCCGGAAGAGGCGAGUGGAAUUCCUGGUGUAGCGGUGGAAUGCGCAGAUAUCAGGAGGAACACCAAUAGCGAAGGCAGCUCGCUGGGACGGUACUGACGCUGAUGCACGAAAGCUAGGGGAGCAAACAGG
RNAcentral lists this ribosomal RNA (253 nucleotides) under uncultured bacterium. Its description in RNAcentral is "partial 16S ribosomal RNA". It matches the Rfam family "Bacterial small subunit ribosomal RNA", at positions 524 to 776 of the family's 1533-position model. The record is from RNAcentral.